GAUGAACGCUAGCGGCAGGCUUAAUACAUGCAAGUCAAGGGGGUAGCAAUACAACCGGCGCACGGGUGAGUAACGCGUACACAACAUACCAUAUACUGGAGUAUAGCUUUGGGAAACUGAAGGUAAUCCUCCAUAACAUUGCGAGAGGGCAUCUGAUUGCAAUUAAAGUUUCGGCGGUAUAUGAUUGGUGUGCGUUUGAUUAGCUAGUUGGUAGGGUAACGGCCUACCAAGGCGACGAUCAAUAGCUGGCGUGAGAGCGCGACCAGCCACACUGGAACUGAGACACGGUCCAGACUCCUACGGGAGGCAGCAGUAGGGAAUAUUGGACAGUGGNGGAAACUCUGAUCCAGCCAUGCCGCGUGAUAGAUGAAGGCCCUCUGGGUGUAAAUAUCUUUA
RNAcentral lists this ribosomal RNA (396 nucleotides) under uncultured bacterium. RNAcentral's name for it is "bacterial SSU rRNA". It matches the Rfam family "Bacterial small subunit ribosomal RNA", at positions 28 to 437 of the family's 1533-position model. The record is from RNAcentral.